GAUGAAGAACGUAGCGAAAUGCGAUAAGUAAUGUGAAUUGCAGAAUUCAGUGAAUCAUCGAAUCUUUGAACGCACAUUGCGCCCGCCGGUAUUCCGGCGGGCAUGCCUGUCCGAGCGUCAUUUCACCACUCAAGCCCGGCUUGGUGUUGGGGCGCCCGGCCGCCUGGCGGUCGGGGCCCCCAAGUACAUCGGCGGUCCCGCUGGGGCUCCGAGCGCAGUAACUCGCGGUAAAACGCGCCCUCGCUCGGCGGCCUCUUCGGGCUUCCAGCCGCUAAACCCCCAGUGACGUUUUUCGAGUUGACCUCGGAUCAGGUAGGAAUACCCGCUGAACUUAAGCAUAUCAAUAAGCGGAGGA
RNAcentral lists this unclassified non-coding RNA (355 nucleotides) under soil metagenome. RNAcentral's name for it is "partial contains 5.8S ribosomal RNA, internal transcribed spacer 2, and large subunit ribosomal RNA". The stretch from base 1 to 120 matches the Rfam family "5.8S ribosomal RNA", at positions 35 to 154 of the family's 154-position model. The record is from RNAcentral.